Molecule: long non-coding RNA, 1496 nt
Filed under: Homo sapiens (human)
Lineage: Eukaryota; Metazoa; Chordata; Mammalia; Primates; Hominidae
Description: non-protein coding lnc-CCT8L2-1:2
Source: RNAcentral
ACCUAUCGAAAAUCAAGAAUGCAACAGCUGCAUGUGAAAGAUCAAUAGAGGAUAAAAAGUGUUACUGUGAACGACUUAAAAGUAAAAUUUCAAAAAAUGAAAAAUAAUAUUAGCAUACUACAAAAGGUACUAUCUGAAACAGACAAAACCAAAUCACAGAGCAUCAGAAUCUUGAAAGGAAAAAAAAAGCUCUAUUUAUCUUACAACAACAAGAAGAAGAAAGAAUAAAGGCUGAAGAGUUGUAUGAAAAAGAUACAGAAGAGUUAAAAAUAAUGGAAGAGCAAUAUAGGACACAAACUGAAGUGAAAAAACAAUCUAAACUGACUCUCAAAUCAUUGGAAGUGGAAUUGAAGACUGUAAGAAGUAACUCAAAUCAGACUUCUCAUACUCAUGAAAAAGAAAGAGACCUGUGGCAGGAAAAUCACUUGAUGCGGGAUGAAAUUGCCAGACUCAGGCUGGAAAUAGACACAAUAAAACAUCAGAACCGGGAAACUGAAAAUAAAUAUUUCAAAGAUAUUGAAAUUAUAAAGGAAAACAAUGAAGACCUUGAAAAGACUCUAAAGCUGAAUGAGGAAACAUUAACAAAAACAAUAACCUGGUAUAGUAAAGAGCUUAAUGUUCUGAUGGAUGAGAAUACAAUGCUCAAUUUUGAGCUAGAGAAGGAAAAACAAAGCACCCCAAGACUGGAAACAGAAAUGGAAUCAUACCGUUGUAGACUGGCUGCUGCCCUAUGUGAUCAUGAUCAAUGUCAGUCAUUGAAAAGAGACCUACAGCUUGCUUUCCAGAGCACAGUGAAUGAAUGGUGUCAUUUACAAGAAAAUACUAAUUCUCACAUUCAGAUUCUUUCUCAGCAACUUUCUAAAGCUGAGAGUACAUCCAGUGGCCUGGAAACUGAGCUCCGUUAUGAAAGAGAGGCUCUCAAAGAAAAGACGUUGGGUAUAGAACACAUGCAAGGAGUCCUAAGCCGAACACAGUGUCCAUUGAAGGACAUUGAACACAUGUACCAAAAUGACCAACCUAUUUUGGAAAAAUAUGUGAGAAAGCAGCAGUCUAUAGAGGAUGGACUAUUUCAACUACAAAGCCAAAAUCUGUUGUAUCAACAGCAAUGUAAUGAUGCUCACAAGAAAGCUGACAAUCAGGAAAAAACAAUAAUUAAUAUCCAAGUCAAAUGUGAAGAUACUGUAGAAAAACUUCAAGCUGAGUGUAGAAAGCUAGAAGAGAACAAUAAGGGGUUGAUGAAGGAAUGCACUCUUUUAAAAGAAAGACAAUGCCAAUAUGAAAAAGAGAAAGAAAAAGGAGAAGUAAGUAUCAAGAAAAAGCUUCAACGAGAAGUGGGUGAUGCCCUGAACAAACAUUUGCUGUCAGAAGCUAGGCUAGAGAUUUCAUCACAACGUCGUGUUAAUUUAGAAGAUGAGACACGAAGUUCAAAAAAGAAAUUAGGCCAGAGGAGAAGUCAAGUAUGUAUGAAACUUAGCAUGUCAACAGUUACUCUGUAG